AGAGUUUGAUCAUGGCUCAGAAUCAACGCUGGCGGCGUGCCUAACACAUGCAAGUCGAACGAGAAAGGGUAGCAAUACCUGAGUAAAGUGGCGCACGGGUGAGUAACACGUGACUGACCUACUGGAGUGGGGGAUAACUGAGGGAAACCUUAGCUAAUACCGCAUAAUACCCACGGGUCAAAGGAGCAAUUCGCUCCAGG
RNAcentral lists this ribosomal RNA (200 nucleotides) under uncultured bacterium. Its description in RNAcentral is "partial 16S ribosomal RNA". It matches the Rfam family "Bacterial small subunit ribosomal RNA", at positions 8 to 226 of the family's 1533-position model. The record is from RNAcentral.